RNAcentral lists this ribosomal RNA (497 nucleotides) under uncultured bacterium. RNAcentral's name for it is "partial 16S ribosomal RNA". It matches the Rfam family "Bacterial small subunit ribosomal RNA", at positions 28 to 507 of the family's 1533-position model. The record is from RNAcentral.
GAUGAACGCUGGCGGCGUGCCUAAUACAUGCAAGUCGAGCGAACGGACGAGAAGCUUGCUUCUCUGAUGUUAGCGGCGGACGGGUGAGUAACAAGUGGAUAACCUACCUAUAAGACUGGGAUAACUUCGGGAAACCGUAGCUAAUACCGGAUAAUAUUUUGAACCGCAUGGUUCAAAAGUGAAAGACGGUCUUGCUGUCACUUAUAGAUGGAUCCGCGCUGCAUUGGCUAGUUGGUAAGGUAACGGCUUACCAAGGCAACGAUGCAUAUCCGACCUGAGAGGGUGAUCGGCCACACUGGAACUGAGACACGGUCCAGACUCCUACGGGAGGCAGCAGUAGGGAAUCUUCCGCAAUGGGCGAAAGCCUGACGGAGCAACGCCGCGUGAGUGAUGAAGGUCUUCGGAUCGUAAAACUCUGUUAUUAGGGAAGAACAUAUGUGUAAGUAACUGUGCACAUCUUGACGGUACCUAAUCAGAAAGCCACGGCUAACUACGUG